CGUAAUCACUUGUCUUUUAAAUAAAGACUAGUAUGAAUGGCAUCACGAGAGUUCAACUGUCUCCCGCACCCAAUCAGUGAAACUGAUCUCCCCGUGCAGAAGCGGGGAUAAAACCAUAAGACGAGAAGACCCCAUGGAGCUUUAAACUAAAGGCACUAGCCCCUAAUUCACCCCUUAGGGUAAAACAUUUUAACCGGCUAAAGUGACCUGUCGUUUUCGGUUGGGGCGACCACGGAGAAAAACAAACCCUCCGAGAUGAAAGGGACAACCCUUAGCCAAGACCAACAAUUCUAAGCAAUAGAACGUCUAACACACUGAUCCAAUCAGAUUGAUCAACGAACCAAGUUACCCUGGGGAUAACAGCGCAAUCUAUUUUCAGAGUUCAUAUCGACAAAUAGGUUUACGACCUCGAUGUUGGAUCAGGGCCUCCUAGCGGUG
This 438-nucleotide ribosomal RNA is filed under the name Bombina pachypus (Appenine yellow-bellied toad). RNAcentral describes it as "partial 16S ribosomal RNA". It matches the Rfam family "Bacterial large subunit ribosomal RNA", at positions 1960 to 2555 of the family's 2925-position model. The record is from RNAcentral. Lineage: Eukaryota; Metazoa; Chordata; Amphibia; Anura; Bombinatoridae.